UACAGAGGGGGCGAGCGUUGUUCGGAAUUACUGGGCGUAAAGCGCGCGUAGGUGGUUUGUUAAGUUGGAUGUGAAAUCCCCGGGCUCAACCUGGGAACUGCAUUCAAAACUGACAAGCUAGAGUAUGGUAGAGGGUGGUGGAAUUUCCUGUGUAGCGGUGAAAUGCGUAGAUAUAGGAAGGAACACCAGUGGCGAAGGCGACCACCUGGACUGAUACUGACACUGAGGUGCGAAAGCGUGGGGAGCAAACAGG
This 253-nucleotide ribosomal RNA is filed under the name uncultured bacterium. Its description in RNAcentral is "partial 16S ribosomal RNA". It matches the Rfam family "Bacterial small subunit ribosomal RNA", at positions 524 to 776 of the family's 1533-position model. The record is from RNAcentral.